AGGCAAGAGAGUGGAAAUUGCCAAGUCUGCUAUUUUCCUGUCUUGGAAACCGACUUUAUUGUCUCUGGUCCAGAAGAUGAUGGGAUGGGCAUUACUGCGUUAUCAAUGUGUUGCGCCUAUGGAGCUGAUGGCAUGCAGUCCAAUGGUUACGAUUGUGUUAUCAUACCUGGAGCCUUGAAAUUUGGAAUGACAGAACCAGCCACGGCAUCUCAAAUCUGCGGAGAGAAGCUGGCAACUAAUGUUGCCUUAGGAGAAAACACAACUAUUUGCACAAGACAACGUCCUUUCCACAUCACCUUCCGGUCUGACAAUUUUGAGCACAUGGUUGAAGCAGACACAAAAGUUAACCCAGGAUUUCGCCUUGCGUUUUCCCAACAAAGCUGCUGAGUCACUAUGUAGCCUCAAAUCGAUGAUUUUUUGAGGAGUAAUCGCCUAAGUGAUUGCUUCAACUGUAUUUUAUUUUGCAUAAGUUGUAAACCGAUUUUCUAAUUCUUAUUUCAUUUCCUAAAGAGAGUAAUUGAUAACAAAUAAAACCAAAUCUAGUGCCGUC
Tigriopus californicus is the source of this 550-nucleotide long non-coding RNA. RefSeq lists it as uncharacterized. The record is from RefSeq and is a predicted model, not a curated record. The transcript is spliced from 3 exons. Lineage: Eukaryota; Metazoa; Arthropoda; Copepoda; Harpacticoida; Harpacticidae.